UUUAACGUGGAAACAGUAGAAUAUAAGAACAUUUGUUUCACAGUAUGGGAUGCUGGUGGUCAAGAUAAAAUUAGGCCUCUCUGGAGGCAUUCCUUCCAAAACACCCAGGGUCUUAUUUUUGUGGUAGAUAGUAAUGAUCGUGAAAGAAUUCGGGAAGGAGCUGAAGAGCUGCAGAAAAUGCUUCAGGAAGAUGAGUUGCGAGAUGCAGUGUUGCUGCUUUUUGCGAACAAACAGGAUUUGCCAAAUGCUAUGGCCAUCAGUGAAAUGUCAGAUAAAUUAGGUCUUCAGUCUCUUCGUAACAGAACAUGGUAUCUUCAAGCCCCUUGUGCUACGCAAGGAACUGGUCUGUAUGAGGGACUUGACUGGCUGUCAAAUGAGCUUUCAAAACGUUAA
Molecule: non-coding RNA, 393 nt
Organism: Leptonychotes weddellii (Weddell seal)
Lineage: Eukaryota; Metazoa; Chordata; Mammalia; Carnivora; Phocidae
Source: RefSeq, a predicted model, not a curated record